UGCAUAUGAUGUUUUUUCUCACGAUGGUCUUCCAAGUCUUUGGGGCUCUGACGACAUCGCCUAAUGGCAUUACUGAUGCAGUUUU
Molecule: small nucleolar RNA, 85 nt
Organism: Pygocentrus nattereri (red-bellied piranha)
Lineage: Eukaryota; Metazoa; Chordata; Actinopteri; Characiformes; Serrasalmidae
Product: Small nucleolar RNA SNORD35
Source: Ensembl